AGGGUGGAAGUGGCCAGUUUAGGGUCUCAGAGGGCGAGUACGGGAGAUGACAGAGUUAGAAGAUACUAGGGGGUUGGGGGUACAAGGAGAAGGAAGUUUAAAGGGGAGACUAGAUCUUGGGGAGACUGUGCUGGGGAGAGCUGCGUUGAAAGUGCCCGCAGUAGCCCAGGGGGACAACAACGCUCUAGGCCAGGCUGUCGCUGCUGCCCGCUGGGGAAGGGGAACUUGACCUCUGGGAGGACGCAGCUCCCGCAUGGGCUCAGCGAUCCCCCAGUGCCCUGGUUUCUGUGGAAAGAGGAAAGCAGAGACGGAGGAGUUGGAGGAGAUGAGGAUCUCGCCAUCCGUGUUGGAGAGGAGGCAAAAUUGAGCGGUUAAUGCCCUGAAAAUGAUCAGGAAGGAAGGCAGUGGGGUGCAGGGCCGCAGGUGGGCCGGGAGGGCAGAUCUUGAACUUGUCGAUAUCAGCAGCCCCCUUUUUUUCCAGACUGAGGGUUGUGAACCCGCCUGGGGAUGAGGCCUGGUGUUGUGGAAACUGAACUUAGCUUCGCGGGGCUGACAGCUCUGGCCCAGGGUGGUGGCAGUGCUCCCCUUUGGACUUUUCCUCUAGGUUCGGUGCUACCUUCUUCUGUGAGCUCAGUCUGCCCCCCCUCUUCCCUUUAACUCUCUCGAGGUUAUCCCUUCACUUAAAACCUUGCUUCUGGUAAUCUGGUAAGCCUGGGAAAGCUGCUGAAGUCCCUGUUGGAGUCGGCAUUGUUGGUAAUCGUGAAUGAGGAAAGGCUCUCCCCACGGAGACUCUGGGUGGGGCGGGUUGGUGUUGCUUGCCGGUGGAGAGGGUGGGGAUUGAAUGCACCCUUGGGUGGGCCUGCAGCUAUGGUACCAGUUGAAAGUGGUAAAAAUGCCUCAUGGACCAUGGUUUGUUACUGUAGUGUUCAUCAUGGCGAUCAGAUGGCACCAGGAGGAAUGGAGCCCCUGGCCAGUGUGAGUCAUAGCA
Molecule: non-coding RNA, 988 nt
Organism: Ceratotherium simum simum (southern white rhinoceros)
Lineage: Eukaryota; Metazoa; Chordata; Mammalia; Perissodactyla; Rhinocerotidae
Source: RefSeq, a predicted model, not a curated record